RNAcentral lists this ribosomal RNA (26 nucleotides) under Perkinsus olseni. Its description in RNAcentral is "partial large subunit ribosomal RNA". Lineage: Eukaryota; Perkinsozoa; Perkinsida; Perkinsidae. The record is from RNAcentral.
AGAAGGCCUGAUGGUGUGAGAUUACC